RNAcentral lists this long non-coding RNA (246 nucleotides) under Vitis vinifera (wine grape). Its description in RNAcentral is "long non-coding RNA (VVIN_LNC001826)". The record is from RNAcentral. Lineage: Eukaryota; Viridiplantae; Streptophyta; Magnoliopsida; Vitales; Vitaceae.
GGAGAAGCCUAAUGUCCACCCAGUUAGGAUGUUGGGACUACACAAACAACCUUAAUCAAUUAAUUUAUGUGGAGAUGGCUAGCAACUACCAACCUACAAUACAUAGGUUGUUAAUAUAGAGUGGUGUGGAACAUCGAAACAUGUUCCUCACAUAAACAUAAUCUCAUUUCAUGUAUCUGAUUCACUUCUCAACCCACCCUCCUAAUCCAUUUUCGUUGUACUCUCCUCUAUUCAUUAUUGAAAAGC